AUUGAACGCUGGCGGCAGGCCUAACACAUGCAAGUCGAACGGUAACAGGAAGAAGCUUGCUUCUUUGCUGACGAGUGGCGGACGGGUGAGUAAUGUCUGGGAAACUGCCUGAUGGAGGGGGAUAACUACCGGAAACGGUAGCUAAUACCGCAUAACGUCGCAAGACCAAAGAGGGGGACCUUCGGGCCUCUUGCCAUCGGAUGUGCCCAGAUGGGAUUAGCUAGUAGGUGGGGUAACGGCUCACCUAGGCGACGAUCCCUAGCUGGUCUGAGAGGAUGACCAGCCACACUGGAACUGAGACACGGUCCAGACUCCUACGGGAGGCAGCAGUGGGGAAUAUUGCACAAUGGGCGCAAGCCUGAUGCAGCCAUGCCGCGUGUAUGAAGAAGGCCUUCGGGUUGUAAAGUACUUUCAGCGGGGAGGAAGGGAGUAAAGUUAAUACCUUUGCUCAUUGACGUUACCCGCAGAAGAAGCACCGGCUAACUCCGUG
RNAcentral lists this ribosomal RNA (490 nucleotides) under uncultured bacterium. RNAcentral's name for it is "partial 16S ribosomal RNA". It matches the Rfam family "Bacterial small subunit ribosomal RNA", at positions 30 to 507 of the family's 1533-position model. The record is from RNAcentral.